CGUCAUCUCUUUAUAAUGUAUAGCAACAUAUUAAAUGACUAAUAAUCUUAAUUUUUUUUUUAGGAAUUAUGUCGUAUGUAGGGCCUUGUAAUUCUGCCCCAGGAAGCACCACAAAGAUAAAAGUUUCAAUCAGUCCAAUUGGAGAGAUUACUGGAGAUAACAAAAAUCAAUUCACCUCAUUUCUAGGAAAUAUGGUCAGGACUCAUUGUCCAAUUGCAUACAAAGACUAGCGGCUUAUGCCAGAUACCAUCAAGGAUAAUGUUUGGUCAACUGUUUUGGCCAAAUAUGAUGUUGAUGACAGUGACAACUGUAAAACUGCCAUAAUUAAGCAUGCUAAUGAUAUGUGGAAGGACUGGAAGAACCGAUUACGAGGAACUGUCCUGGAUAUGUAUGAUAAUGAUGGAGACAGGAAAAAAAAUUGCCCUAAUGGGGUCAAGCUAGAAGAUUGGGUUAAAUUCAUUGAUUACGAAUCUACAGAAGAGGCGAAGUCUCGUCGUGGAAAGGGAAAGGAAUCCAGAUGUGAAAUGAAGUUCCCUCACACGACUGGGUGACGGGGAUUUGCUAGGACGGCAGAGUUGCUUCAACAAAAAAAUCCAGAUACUCAAAUCACGAGAACUGAAUUAUUUCUGGCAACUAAUACUAGAUCCGAUGGG
Magnolia sinica is the source of this 653-nucleotide long non-coding RNA. RefSeq lists it as uncharacterized. The transcript has 3 exons. The record is from RefSeq and is a predicted model, not a curated record. NCBI's taxonomy places the organism in Eukaryota, Viridiplantae, Streptophyta, Magnoliopsida, Magnoliales, Magnoliaceae.